GGCCCCGCGGCCCCGCCUCCCCGCGGGAGCCAGCUGCGGCCACUUGGCCCUGCGGUGUCACAGCUGCUGCCAGCAAUGCCAUCCUGCUCAGGCAGGGGUGAGGAAUGUGAUUUAAUCUCUGCUGGAAUGUGUCCUGGGGAGCCCCACUCCCACCCCACAGGGGGCUGGGUCCGGGGCGGCCGGAACCCAGGCGCGGGAAGUGAGCCAGGGCCCUCCUGGAGAUGAGGAGGCGGCAGGAGUGAUGCUCCCGGCCGUAGCUGGCUCUGGGGAGGCACAGCGCAGCCUCGGAAGCCAGGGGAGCCCGGGAGGGCAGAAGGGUCUCAGGGGAGGCCUGCAGGGAAGCCCUGCUGCCUCUGUCCCCACACGCCUGCCUCUGUUCCGUCACCGGGGCCCCUUCACCUCCCCCUUGCAGCCCCAGCCCUGCGCCUGGCCCCGCCCUCCUAGACCCCGGUCCUAGAGCGUCCCCUACCCCCAGCCUUCUCUUCCAGGCCCCCCCAGUCCUGUCACUCCUACCCCACCCCCCCUGACUCAGCUGCAGCCCAGAAAUAACGCCUGGCAGGUGCCAGGAGGCCUCCGUCGGGACCCUCCCUGCAGCUGCUCCCCAGGGCCCCAGGAAGGGUGGUCAGAGACUUCCUGGCUCCUCCAGGACUCUGCCCCCUGCAAGCCUAAGGAGAAACAGCCUCACUCAACACGCGGGACCCCCGUGUCCCUCUGGCUCCCCCUUCUAACCUGCCCUCGGUCUUCCAGCCACGCCCCCUUUCCUCACCCCUUCUAACUCCCCAGCCCCUGGGUCAGUCUCUCCAGAAUUCCUUCCUGGUCCCGUCUCCUCAUUUGCCAGGAAGGCACGUCAUCAGAAUGAACUUCCGCUCGUUUUGAUAGAGAACCUGAGGCCCUGGCCAGCUCAACGGGCCAGAAGUCUCUCCUUCCUGCCCCGAGGCGUCGGAAAGAAAGACUGCGGCGCCCCCUGGCGGUCUCCUUACACUGCUCUCCCGCCCGGGUCCUCGCACGCACGGCCUUCUCCCAAGCGCUGGCCUGCACCCAUGGCGUCCUCUGGCGGCCGCACCGUGAGACCCACAGGUUUUCCUGGAGCCAGGCAUGGGAGGAGCCCAGCCGUUCUGCGGGCUGACCUGGGCCCACCUGUACGCGCCGGGGGACCCUUCCUUCACUCUUACACUGGGCAGCACUCCACGCUGGGCACUGCUUAUCCCGACAUCUCAGGGGCUUCUCCAAUCUUUAAACAGUCUGUAAACACAGAAGCUGAGUUUAUCCUAAAGCCCUGCCCAUACUAGCUGUGCUUGUCUCCUCUCUCCCUGCCCUUCCAUUGGUACUGGGAAUUGAAUCCAGGACCUUCACAGCGAGCUACAUCCCCAGCUCUUUUAUUUUGAGACAGAGUCUCGAUAAGUUGCCC
RNAcentral lists this long non-coding RNA (1408 nucleotides) under Fukomys damarensis (Damara mole-rat). RNAcentral describes it as "lncRNA (ENSFDAG00000029047.1)". The record is from RNAcentral. Lineage: Eukaryota; Metazoa; Chordata; Mammalia; Rodentia; Bathyergidae.